Molecule: ribosomal RNA, 498 nt
Filed under: uncultured bacterium
Lineage: Bacteria
Description: partial 16S ribosomal RNA
Rfam family: Bacterial small subunit ribosomal RNA
Source: RNAcentral
GACGAACGCUGGCGGCGUGCCUAAUACAUGCAAGUCGAACGAGAGCGACCGGUGCUUGCACUGGUCAAUCUAGUGGCGAACGGGUGAGUAACACGUGGGUAACCUGCCCAUCAGAGGGGGAUAACAUCCGGAAACGGAUGCUAAAACCGCAUAGGUCUUCGAACCGCAUGGUUUGAAGAGGAAAAGAGGCGCAAGCUUCUGCUGAUGGAUGGACCCGCGGUGCAUUAGCUAGUUGGUGAGGUAACGGCUCACCAAGGCCGUGAUGCAUAGCCGACCUGAGAGGGUGAUCGGCAACAUUGGGACUGAGACACGGCCCAAACUCCUACGGGAGGCAGCAGUAGGGAAUCUUCCGCAAUGGACGCAAGUCUGACGGAGCAACGCCGCGUGAGUGAAGAAGGUGUUCGGAUCGUAAAACUCUGUUGUUAGAGAAGAACAAGUGCUAGAGUAACUGUUAGCGCCUUGACGGUAUCUAACCAGAAAGCCACGGCUAACUACGUG